RNAcentral lists this unclassified non-coding RNA (335 nucleotides) under soil metagenome. RNAcentral describes it as "partial contains 5.8S ribosomal RNA, internal transcribed spacer 2, and large subunit ribosomal RNA". The stretch from base 1 to 120 matches the Rfam family "5.8S ribosomal RNA", at positions 35 to 154 of the family's 154-position model. The record is from RNAcentral.
GAUGAAGAACGCAGCGAAAUGCGAUAAGUAAUGUGAAUUGCAGAAUUCAGUGAAUCAUCGAAUCUUUGAACGCACAUUGCGCCCGCCAGUAUUCUGGCGGGCAUGCCUGUUCGAGCGUCAUUUCAACCAUCAAGCCCCCGGGCUUGUGUUGGGGACCUGCGGCUGCCGCAGGCCCUGAAAACCAGUGGCGGGCUCGCUAGUCACUCCGAGCGUAGUAGUUACAUCUCGCUCAGGGCGUGCUGCGGGUUCCGGCCGUUAAAAGCCUUUUACCCCAAGGUUGACCUCGGAUCAGGUAGGAAGACCCGCUGAACUUUAGCAUAUCAAUAAGCGGAGGA